ACAGGGAUUGCCCUAGUAACGGCGAGUGAAGCGGCAAAAGCUCAGAUUUGAAAUCUGGAACAUCCGAGUUGUAAUCUGUAGAGAAGUAUCCAAUAUUAGUCCUUGGAACAGGACGUCAUAGAGGGUGAGAACCCCGUCUUUAGUCUUUUCUUUUAUUGAUAUAAGUCUUCUUCAAUGAGUCGAGUUGUUUGGGAAUGCAGCUCUAAAUGGGUGGUAAAUUCCAUCUAAAGCUAAAUAUUGGCAAGAGACCGAUAGCGCACAAGUAGAGUAAUCGAAAGAUGAAAAGAACUCUGGACAGAGAGUUAAAUAGUACGUGAAAUUGUUGAAAGGGAAGCACUUGCUACCAGACACACCAGUUGUUAAUCAGCUGGUGCACUUAAUAACUUGGGUCAGCAUCAGUUGUCAAUGAGAAAAAUGAAUGUGGCUUCCUCCUCUUGUAAGUAUCAGCGACCAGACUGAGGUUCGCACAAUGGUCGUAAGUGACCCGUCUUGAAACACGGACCAAGGAGUCUAACAUCUAUGCAAGUGUUUGGGUUAAAACCCUCAUGCGAAAUGAAAGUGAAUGCAGAUGGUCUGCCCCAUCGACCGAUCCUGAUGUUCUCGGAUGGAUUUGAGUAUGAGCAUAGAUGUUGGGACCCGAAAGAUGGUGAACUAUGCCUGAAUAGGGUGAAGCCAGAGGAAACUCUGGUGGAGGCUCGGUUCUGACGUGCAAAUCGAUCGUCAAAUUUGGGGCGAAAGACCAAUCG
RNAcentral lists this ribosomal RNA (746 nucleotides) under Pachyella adnata. RNAcentral's name for it is "partial large subunit ribosomal RNA". It matches the Rfam family "Eukaryotic large subunit ribosomal RNA", at positions 68 to 937 of the family's 3401-position model. Lineage: Eukaryota; Fungi; Ascomycota; Pezizomycetes; Pezizales; Pezizaceae. The record is from RNAcentral.